GCAUAUCAAUAAGCGGAGGAAAAGAAACCAACAGGGAUUGCCUUAGUAACGGCGAAGUGAAGCGGCAACAGCUCAAAUUUGAAAUCUGGCCCUCGGGUCCGAAUUGUAAUUUGUAGAGGAUGAUUUUGGUGCGGUAUCUUCCGAGUUCCUUGGAACAGGACGCCUUAGAGGGUGAGAGCCCCGUACGGUUGAAUGCCUAGCCUCUGUAAAUCUCCUUCGACGAGUCGAGUAGUUUGGGAAUGCUGCUCUAAAUGGGAGGUAAAUUUCUUCUAAAGCUAAAUAUUGGCCAGAGACCGAUAGCGCACAAGUAGAGUGAUCGAAAGAUGAAAAGCACUUUGAAAAGAGGGUUAAAUAGCACGUGAAAUUGUUGAAAGGGAAGGAUUUGUGACCAGACUUUUUCUGGGCGGAUCAUCCGGGGUUCUCUCCGGUGCACUUUGCCCAGUAAAGGCCAGCAUCGAUUUUCGGCGGCGGAUAAAAGCAGUGGGAAUGUGGCUCCUUACGGGGAGUGUUAUAGCCCAUUGUAUAAUACGCUGCUGGGGAUCGAGGUACGCGCUUCUGCAAGGAUGCUGGCGUAAUGGUUAUCAAUCACCCGUCUUGAAACACGGACCAAGGAGUCGAACAUUUAUGCGAGUGUUUGGGUGUUAAACCCUCACGCGUAAUGAAAGUGAACGGAGGUGAGAGCCUGUAUGGGUGCAUCAUCGACCGAUCCUGAAGUUUUCGGAUGGAUUUGAGUAAGAGCAUAACUGUUCGGACCCGAAAGAUGGUGAACUAUGCGUGGAUAGGGUGAAGCCAGAGGAAACUCUGGUGGAGGCUCGCAGCGGUUCUGACGUGCAAAUCGAUCGUCAAAUCUGCGCAUGGGGGGCGAAAGACUAAUCGAACCCAUCUAGUAGCUGGUUACCGCCGA
Molecule: ribosomal RNA, 904 nt
Filed under: Pestalotiopsis camelliae
Lineage: Eukaryota; Fungi; Ascomycota; Sordariomycetes; Amphisphaeriales; Sporocadaceae
Description: LSU rRNA
Rfam family: Eukaryotic large subunit ribosomal RNA
Source: RNAcentral